AUUGAACGCUGGCGGCGUGCUUAACACAUGCAAGUCGAACGCGAAAGGGACUUCGGUCCUGAGUAAAGUGGCGCACGGGUGAGUAACACGUGGAUAAUCUGCCCUUAUGAUUGGAAUAACAGUUGGAAACGGCUGCUAAUACCGGAUACGCUCAAAAUGAACUUUUUGAGGAAAGAUGGCCUCUGCUUGCAUGCUAUCGCAUAAGGAUGAGUCAGCGUCCCAUUAGCUUGUUGGCGGGGUAACGGCCCACCAAGGCAACGAUGGGUAGCCGAUUUGAGAGGAUGAUCGGCCACACUGGAACUGAAACACGGUCCAGACUCCUACGGGAGGCAGCAGUGGGGAAUAUUGCGCAAUGGGCGAAAGCCUGACGCAGCGACGCCGCGUGAGGGAUGAAGGUUUUCGGAUCGUAAACCUCUGUCAGAAGGGAAGAAACUACGCUGUGCUAAUCAGCAACGUACUGACGGUACCUUCAAAGGAAGCACCGGCUAACUCCGUGCCAGCCGCCGCCGUAA
RNAcentral lists this ribosomal RNA (512 nucleotides) under uncultured bacterium. RNAcentral's name for it is "partial 16S ribosomal RNA". It matches the Rfam family "Bacterial small subunit ribosomal RNA", at positions 30 to 523 of the family's 1533-position model. The record is from RNAcentral.